RNAcentral lists this unclassified non-coding RNA (1220 nucleotides) under Hevea brasiliensis (rubber tree). The record is from RNAcentral. Lineage: Eukaryota; Viridiplantae; Streptophyta; Magnoliopsida; Malpighiales; Euphorbiaceae.
AGGUAGCAUCUAUUAUCUUUUAGGGUUCCAUCGCUCACGCACACUCUCCGGUAGAUCUCCCAAUUCUCCGACGGAAAAGUUUAUUCAUUUGGAUGCUUGAAGUUGGAAUUCGGGUGCUCUGAUGCAAAUGAUUCGUGUGCGUACCAGAAUGGCUCUUUCUGCUUGUGCGAUGUUAUAUCGUUCCUCAAUUUCAGGUCCAGUGCGACUGAUGACGACAGACACACAAAGUGUUGCUGCUAAGCUGAGCAGCUCUGGAUUGUUGCGGAGUCAGGCUCUUAUUGGAGGGAAAUGGGUUGAUGCAUAUGAUGGGAAGACUAUAAAGGUCCACAAUCCUGCAACAGGGGAGGUAAUAACAGAUGUGCCAUGCAUGGGAGGGAGGGAGACGAACGAUGCAAUUUCUUCUGCCUAUGAUGCAUUUAGUUCAUGGAGCAAACUUACUGCCGCUGAAAGGAGCAGAUAUUUAAGGAAGUGGUACGAUUUGAUAAUGGCCCAUAAAGAAGAACUUGGACAGCUUAUGACACUAGAGCAAGGGAAACCUCUAAAAGAGGCUAUUGGUGAAGUUAGUUAUGGGGCUGGUUUUAUUGAGUUCUCCGCUGAGGAGGGUAAACGUAUAUAUGGUGACAUCAUUCCAUCACCAUUAGCAGAUAGGCGGUUAUUUGUUUUAAAGCAACCAGUUGGUGUUGUUGGUGCAAUUACCCCAUGGAAUUUUCCCUUGGCUAUGAUUACCCGAAAGGUUGGCCCUGCUCUUGCUUGUGGUUGCACAGUGGUGAUUAAACCGUCUGAACUCACACCCUUGACUGCUUUAGCAGCAGCUGAACUCUCCAUUCAAGCUGGAAUACCACCGGGCGUAGUGAAUGUUGUUAUGGGAAAUGCACCUGAUAUUGGAGACGCACUGCUUGCAAGCCCACAGGUAAGAAAAAUUACAUUCACAGGUUCAACCAAGGUUGGGAAAAAAUUGAUGGAAGGUGCUGCUGCCACCGUUAAAAAGGUGUCUCUUGAGCUAGGCGGUAAUGCACCUUGCAUCAUCUUUGAUGACGCAGAUCUUGAAGUAGCUUUAAAAGGAGCUCUCGCAACAAAGUUCCGUAACACCGGACAAACAUGUGUAUGUGCGAACAGAAUACUUGUGCAAGAAGGGAUAUAUGAUAAAUUCGCAAAUGCUUUUGCUAAAGCUGUCCAAAACAUGAAAGUUGGAGAUGGUUUCACUGAAGGUGUAGAGCAAG